UGUGGAAAUUACAAGGAUAUAGGGUCGCCGUUUAGAAUUGGCGAGCAACUAUGAAUUUGUUUGUUCUAGUAAAACAAUCAUUGAUUAAAUGAGUUUGUAACCUUGUAUUUGAAGGAUGAGUACUUAGGCUUAAUCAGUAAUGACGCUCCUAGAAUCUGUCCUCUACCAUGACCGCAACGUUAGUGCAAACUUUUGAGUCUGAGAAUGAACGAAAGCUUCAAAUUUUGAAUGUCAUGUGCAUUUGUAGGAGGGCUUGCAAAGACUGUUUAUAUAUGGAGAUGAUUGACAAUCUUCUAAAGACAACAUCACAUCCCUGGUUGCUCUUGAGAAAGUCAUGAAUUCGUGAAGAGUUGGAAAAAUUGGUGUUAACACACUAUCUAGUUAGAUUUGAAAAUUUAAUGUCCAUGCAAAAUGAUUUGACGGGAUAUGCUUCCAAAAUAAUCUCUUUCAAAGACCUUAUGGAUGAAUCUUACUGAUGUUCAGUUAUACUCUGCUUCACUAGCAUGAUGUUGCAUGUAUUAAGGUUGAGUCCUAAGGUAAUUAUUUCUGUUGAGUAAACAUAAGAUCAUGAACACCAUUCUCUUAGUUAAGAAAGCAAUGUAUAUGUGAUCAAUGCAUGUUCUGGAGCUUGAACAUACAUAUAUCAAAUUAAUUUAAAUUACAAAAUACAUAAUGACAUCUAGUCCUUUUUGGAGUAAGUAUUUCGAUAAUCUAUUGUUUGACAUCUAGUCCUUAAGGGAAGAUCACAAUAACAAAAUUUGACCCAUAAUUUGGCUAAGACUAUGAAGGGCAGUAGCCGUUUGAAUAUGAUGUCUUAGAUGAAAGAUAUGUAUACGACCCACCCUGAUUGUGUAGAAUAAGAUCUGUUGUAAGAUGAGGAUUUAGAGAUGUCCAAGGAUCUCUACUAUAUCAUCAAUUGUAGUACUGCUUGUCUCGAACCAUCUUGGUAGGCCCAUCUCCUAUAUGCAGUGAUCCUUAUCUUGCAUGGUAUGAAUGAAACGUGACUUGUUGGAUUAUUGACUUAGACCGAAUGGCCGUGAGUCAUAUUUUGCCACAUGUUCGGUGCUACCUCCCUAGUCAUUAGAUGCAUUAUUGUUCAAAUUGUUGUUAGCAUCAUCACUCUUAUAAUGAGAUGAUUUGGGCGAUUAGUUGUCCAAGGAUUCGAUGGUCUCAUAAUCUAGGUGAGUGAAUUUGCAGCUUUUUCCAUUUCCCUCUCUUGCUGUUUUGAGAAAUUAUUUUCUUUCUCUGGCAGCCCUUGCCUAAUUGGCUUUUCCAAUGGCUCGACCAUGCUCAUCACUUUGUUUGGUCCUACAUCCUUGACUGGAUUGGGUGUCAUGGUGACCUUUUUUUAGCAUCUUUG
RNAcentral lists this long non-coding RNA (1360 nucleotides) under Phoenix dactylifera (date palm). RNAcentral describes it as "long non-coding RNA (PDAC_LNC014916)". The record is from RNAcentral. Lineage: Eukaryota; Viridiplantae; Streptophyta; Magnoliopsida; Arecales; Arecaceae.